This 447-nucleotide ribosomal RNA is filed under the name uncultured bacterium. Its description in RNAcentral is "bacterial SSU rRNA". It matches the Rfam family "Bacterial small subunit ribosomal RNA", at positions 29 to 519 of the family's 1533-position model. The record is from RNAcentral.
AGCGAACGCUGGCGGCAGGCUUAACACAUGCAAGUCGAACGGGCGUAGCAAUACGUCAGUGGCAGACGGGUGAGUAACGCGUGGGAACGUACCUUUUGGUUCGGAACAACCCAGGGAAACUUGGGCUAAUACCGGAUAAGCCCUUACGGGGAAAGAUUUAUCGCCGAAAGAUCGGCCCGCGUCUGAUUAGCUAGUUGGUGUGGUAACGGCGCACCAAGGCGACGAUCAGUAGCUGGUCUGAGAGGAUGAUCAGCCACAUUGGGACUGAGACACGGCCCAAACUCCUACGGGAGGCAGCAGUGGGGAAUAUUGGACAAUGGGCGCAAGCCUGAUCCAGCCAUGCCGCGUGAGUGAUGAAGGCCCUAGGGUUGUAAAGCUCUUUUGUGCGGGAAGAUAAUGACGGUACCGCAAGAAUAAGCCCCGGCUAACUUCGUGCCAGCCGCCGCA